Gossypium arboreum is the source of this 108-nucleotide non-coding RNA. Lineage: Eukaryota; Viridiplantae; Streptophyta; Magnoliopsida; Malvales; Malvaceae. The record is from Rfam.
AAUCCAUGGUAAGGGCACCUUCUCAACAGAUCCUUGUAUCUCUCCCAUGCAUCGGAGAGUGUUUCUAGAACCACUUACCCAAAAAGAAGAGAUGUCAUUCCUUAACUU